RNAcentral lists this long non-coding RNA (2253 nucleotides) under Homo sapiens (human). RNAcentral describes it as "HSALNT0165977". The record is from RNAcentral. Lineage: Eukaryota; Metazoa; Chordata; Mammalia; Primates; Hominidae.
UUCCCCUCCUCCUCUGUCCUUUUGCUGUCCUAGUCUACCUUUCCUGUUCUUGUCCUACCGCUUCAAGAUGCCCUGGUGGGGACUUUCUGAUUUCUCUGUUUCUGGCUUCUAGAACUUUGAAGAUUCCCUCCACAGAGCAACCUGCUCCAAGAACAACUCCAGGCCCAGUAAAUCUUCCCUUGCCAACACAGCUCUACCGCUGCCAGUGCAAAAGGUGGAAAGAUGAUUUCUUUUCUUUGUUUUGUUUUGUUUUUAAUAAGUUUCAUGCUGAGAAAAGCUCAUGAAAACUGCUAGUUCACCCAGGAUGGAAAGACACCCCCAGUAGAAGGGCAAACAGAGCUCAGGGGCUCUUAGUUGCCCUAUGGAGGCAAAGUGACUCUAAAAGCUUUGUCAGUUUGAUUUCAGUGGCUCAUAGGAUUCUUUGAGCCAUUUGCCCUCUCAAAAUAGACAGUAAGUAGACAAUGAGUAGGUCCUCAGAAAAGCCACUCCUAGUUUUGGUAUUUUGUGGAUUCUUUAUUUGGAUGACACACAGGGCAUCAGUUCCUAUUGGCCUUUUCUUGAAUAACUUGCUUACAAAGGAGAAGGAAAUGCUGCUUAAACCACAAUUGCCUUCCAUGGAGAGCAGCUCUUCAUAAAUAAGAAACCCUUUGAAUCUGCUGCGUACCUUGAUGAGUUUGGAUAUGCAAAAUGGACCCAGAGCAAGAUGUGGAAAGAAAGGCAGGGAAGAGUUGAAUUGCUCCGCAUAACUAAAAAGAAAAAUUGGAAUUUGUCAGGAGAACCCAGGAAGGAUGAGGAUGAGAAAAAAGAGAGAAGGCUGGAGAGAAGAACCAGCAAUUUGAAUGAGGCUGAGGCUCUAUGUGGGGUGCAAUGGCCAGUGAAAAAUCUCAGGGAUGGGAAGGCAGAACUUGGAUGACUAUUUUCAUAUGUGGCUGUGUGCUGUUGCAAUAAGACCGUCUCCAUCCUCCUCUUAAGUCUACUCUAAAAUCUUCUCUGCAAACUUUCAUGAAUAAGUGGGGAUUUUUGUUUGUGUUGGUGAACUCAGGGAAGAGGCUCAAUUUCAGGUAUGAGUCAACAUGGAUUAGAACAACAGAAAGCAUAGAGCCACAAAUUUAAAAAGCAGGAGUUAGAAGCCAGGAGUGAUUACAAGACAGUAAUCCCCAAGGAAUUUGGAGAAAUUGUGAGAUGCUCACAGUGUAUUGAGUUGGUGGUUCAAGCUUAUGUUUUCUAAAUACCAAAUGGGAAAGAAAUUUGGAAUUUGUUGGAAGAAUCCAGGAAGGAUGAGGAUGAGAAAAAGAGAGAAUAAUGAAGAGAAGAACCAGCAAUUUGGAUGAGGCUGGGGCUCUAUGUGGGGUGCAAUGGCCAUGCACAUGUGUGUGAAUGCACACACACACACACACGAGUGGAAAAAAAAAUCUUGAAGAAAAGGCCGAGGGAGAAUAUUUGACCAGCCCAGGUACAGGGGAAACCUCACUAAAAAUGAGCUGCUGCUCCCUGGAAUCUGAGGGCUCUUCUCUAAAGAUAGAGCAGAUAGAGCCUUGGGCAGAUAGAGCCUUGGUUCCUGGCUAGGCAACGAAAAGGCAGCAUCAAGAGAAGAGGCAGCUGCUGGCUGCAAAGGAGUGUGGAUAUGCAGGCCAAGCGCUGUCCACAGUGAAGGAAGUUAACCAGGAGAUUGUGAUCAGAUGAGGUAUGAAUUUCUCUUGAUGGUUCUGUGUUUUAUAUAGAAUAUUUGGAAAUGUCUAAAAAUCAUAGCACCUCAAAGUUGGAAGACAGCUUCCCCCCUAUAAACAGUCACUGUUAAAGCUAUUAAAGAGUGUGAAUGUACAUUAGGAAAAACUGAACCAAGAAAGAGACCCGGGAGGGUUUGAUGGUGGGAAGAACCAAAUUCCUGCCAACCAGAAUAGAAUCCCAGAGAAAAAUGGAUGCUAGCCAGAGAAAUAGCCCCUUCCAUAGAUUGUUAUCUAGGGAGAAACAGAGGGAAUGAGGAGGAGUCCAGCACAGCCUCAGACAGACAUAUCUGGGCUCUAAAGCACCUCCCUUUCUAUGUUUUAUGUCUUUAGUUUCAUUCAUUUUUUCGCAUAUAUUUACUGAACAUUCAGUACAAGCCAGGUACUUUUCUUGAUGUUAGGGAGACAGAGAUAAAAUAAUCAGAUAAGGCUUUGUUCUCUUGCAUUUAACACAGGCAAUAAACAAGAGGGAAGAACAUGAAUGAAUAGGAUUUAGAUGCCACUAAGUAUCCUAUGAGUAAAAUAAAGC